This 266-nucleotide unclassified non-coding RNA is filed under the name rhizosphere metagenome. RNAcentral's name for it is "partial ribosomal RNA internal transcribed spacer region". The record is from RNAcentral.
GAAAUAAACCUGAUAAGUUGCUGCUGGUUCUCUAGGGAGCAAUGUGCACACUUGUCAUCUUUGUAUCUUCACCUGUGCACCUUUUGUAGACCUGACUAUCUCUCUGAAUGCUUUAUAGCACUCAGGAUUGGGAAUUGACUUCUUGUCUCUUCUUACAUUUUCAGGCCUAUGUUUACAUAUACCCUAAUGUAUGUUUAUAGAAUGUAAUUAAUGGGCCUUUGUGCCUAUAAACCUUUACAACUUUCAGCAACGGAUCUCUUGGCUCU